AUUGAACGCUGGCGGCAGGCCUAACACAUGCAAGUCGAGCGAGAGGCGGACGGGGGAGUAAUGUAUGGGGACUGCCCGCUAGAGGGGGAUAAAUAUUGGAAACGGUAGCUAAUACCGCACACUAUAGGGUAACACAUAUGUGAUUAGCUAGUAGGUGAGGUAAUGGCCCACCAAGGCGACGCUCCCUAGCUGGUCUGUGAGGAUGAUCAGCCACACUGGGACUGAGACACGGCCCAGACUCCUACGGAGGCAGCAGUGGGGAAUAUUGCACAAUGGGCGCAAGCCUGAUGCAGCCAUGCCGCGUGUAUGAAGAAGGCCCUAGGGUUGUAAAGUACUUUCAGUCGGGAGGCGUUACCGACAGAAGAAGCACCGGCUAACUCCGUGCCAGCCGCCGCGGUAAUAC
Molecule: ribosomal RNA, 403 nt
Filed under: uncultured bacterium
Lineage: Bacteria
Description: partial 16S ribosomal RNA
Rfam family: Bacterial small subunit ribosomal RNA
Source: RNAcentral